AUACGGGGGAUGCAAGCGUUAUUCGGAAUCAUUGGGCGUAAAGGGCACGCAGGCGGUUCUGUCAGUCAGAUGUGAAAGCCCGGGGCUUAACCCCGGACGUGCAUUUGAAACAGCAGGACUUGAGUAUGGUAGAGGAAAGCGGAAUUCCUGGUGUAGAGGUGAAAUUCGUAGAUAUCAGGAGGAACACCGGUGGCGAAGGCGGCUUUCUGGACCAAAACUGACGCUGAGGUGCGAAGGCGUGGGUAGCGAACAGGAUUAGAAACCCGAGUAGUCC
This 274-nucleotide ribosomal RNA is filed under the name uncultured bacterium. RNAcentral's name for it is "partial 16S ribosomal RNA". It matches the Rfam family "Bacterial small subunit ribosomal RNA", at positions 523 to 796 of the family's 1533-position model. The record is from RNAcentral.